This 917-nucleotide long non-coding RNA is filed under the name Astyanax mexicanus (Mexican tetra). RNAcentral's name for it is "lncRNA (ENSAMXG00005015258.1)". The record is from RNAcentral. Lineage: Eukaryota; Metazoa; Chordata; Actinopteri; Characiformes; Acestrorhamphidae.
AAACUAAUUAGUGUAUUAAUUAGUUUAAUUUACUGGCAUUUAUUUUGUUUCUUUGCUCUUAAUCUGAGAGCUCCACUCUCUAUAUUAGCAGCAAUAGAACAUGCACCCUUCUGCUCUAUCCACCUAGCAACGGUAACUAGGUGGUGAGGCUUCUUACACGGAAUUCUAUGACAUCAUCAGUCCGGUGCAUAAUAGAACUAACCGAACUUACUGGUCAUCAUUCACUAAGAAGCAGCUGACAGAGCAGCAGCAGUUUUCUUUACUGUACUUCUCAGAUCUUCCGAUGGAUCGCAAAACCAUGCAUACCUGUUCUGUAGAGGAGAGCUGCACAGCAUCUGUUGUUAAGGACCCUAAGGCCCUAUACAACAUCAAGAGUUCUUUUUUCAGCAAAAUCCAUGAUGAAGUUAGGACAUUCAUGUUGAAGGAACUGCAACAGAGCAUAGAGGAUGUUGUGUCUUUAAAGACCACCAAAACCAUUACCACCGAUAUACUGGAAAAUGUGAUGACUCAGGUCACUUACAUUCUUUCUCACCUGUGUGACUCCACAUCAUCCUGGAGCAGUACUCCACCCAGAAGUGCCAGCCAGGAAUUGGCUACGGAACUAGUUAUUUCCACAGCAAACAAAAUGCGGGAGUACUGGCAUCUAUGCACAGUGUCUGAGUGGAUUGGUGCCUCCCUGGUGUCCCCUGUAGAAAUCUUCAGUGCGGUAGACACCUGUUUGUCCCUUAUUGUAUUGGAGGCUCUGAGCUCCUACUUUGAGACCUUGUUGAGCAUCUGCAGUGAGGGGACGUCAGCUGAUGCAUGCAGAAUUGAUUUAGAUACAUCGCAGUGUGACUUCAUUCAGGCUGUGGCUGAUAAAAUUAGGGGAUCCUCAAGUCACUCCACUAGUGAAACAGGAACCCCAGAAACUAAAGAAG